This 557-nucleotide ribosomal RNA is filed under the name uncultured bacterium. RNAcentral's name for it is "bacterial SSU rRNA". It matches the Rfam family "Bacterial small subunit ribosomal RNA", at positions 102 to 694 of the family's 1533-position model. The record is from RNAcentral.
ACGGGUGAGUAACGCGUGGGAAUCUACCGUACCCUACGGAAUAGCUCUGGGAAACUGGAAGUAAUACCGUAUACGCCCUAACGGGGAAAGAUUUAUCGGGGUAUGAUGAGCCCGCGUUGGAUUAGCUAGUUGGUGGGGUAAAGGCCUACCAAGGCGACGAUCCAUAGCUGGUCUGAGAGGAUGAUCAGCCACAUUGGGACUGAGACACGGCCCAAACUCCUACGGGAGGCAGCAGUGGGGAAUAUUGGACAAUGGGGGCAACCCUGAUCCAGCUAUGCCGCGUGAGUGAUGAAGGUCUUAGGAUUGUAAAGCUCUUUCAACGGUGAAGAUAAUGACGGUAACCGUAGAAGAAGCCCCGGCUAACUUCGUGCCAGCAGCCGCGGUAAUACGAAGGGGGCUAGCGUUGUUCGGAAUUACUGGGCGUAAAGCGCACGUAGGCGGGUAUUUAAGUCAGGGGUGAAAUCCCGCAGCUCAACUGCGGAACUGCCUUUGAUACUGGGUAUCUUGAGUAUGGAAGAGGUAAGUGGAAUUGCGAGUGUAGAGGUGAAAUUCGUAGA